UACGAAGGGGGCGAGCGUUGUUCGGAUUUACUGGGCGUAAAGGGCGCGUAGGCGGCCGAUCAAGUCAGGCGUGAAAGCCCCGGGCUCAACCUGGGAAUGGCGCUUGGGACUGGUUGGCUUGAGUUCGGGAGAGGAGAGUGGAAUUCUCAGUGUAGCGGUGAAAUGCGUAGAUAUUGGGAAGAACACCAGUGGCGAAAGCGGACUUCUGGGUUGUUACUGACGCUGAGGUACGAAAGCGUGGGGAGCAAACGGG
Molecule: ribosomal RNA, 253 nt
Filed under: uncultured bacterium
Lineage: Bacteria
Description: partial 16S ribosomal RNA
Rfam family: Bacterial small subunit ribosomal RNA
Source: RNAcentral